ACCAAUGAGUCAGGCAAAGGAGGCAGUGAAAUUAUUCCCAUUUUACAGACUUAAGAAACCAAGUUCAAGUGAUUUGCUCAAGGUCAGAUAGCUACUUAGUUAGGGUCAGCCAAGUCCAAGUCGAACAACAUAAUGUAAAUAUGUACAAUGUACAUAUUUCCUUUCCUCCUCCUGAGUUAGGGGUUGACUGCCCAGCUCAGGCAAGCCAAAAUAUUUGCAGAUCAUAGCCAUCCACCCCAACCAGUGACAGCAGUGAUGAUGAUGGCCCAUCUGUACCAGACUUGACCGACUUGACGGUGGGACCGGGAGGCCUCAGGGAGGGCUUCCCGCUCUGAGGCCCCGCCUUCUGGCGGCCCCCAGCAGGAAAGCGGGCAGCGGCGGCGACCGGUCUCCGAAGCUAGGCAGUGGAAAUCCCCAGCACUGGUGCGGACUGGUGGGAACCCACUGGCACCCCUGCUCCCUGCUGAGGCCCAUGCGGAAGCCGAGCCCCGAGGUUCCUGGCUCCUGGGGAAGGGGUCCCUUGGAGAGGCCGGAGCAAGGCCCAACCCAGAAGUUUGUUUUCACCGGGUCCAGCUUACUGCCAGGCACAGCGUUACCAAAAAAGGCCUUUCUCCUGCCAGAGCGCUUGGCUGCGUACGGCUGUGCAGCGGGGUGACGCGAGGUUCAGCCCGGGCCUCUUCGAAGGCUGAGCCAGUUGGCGGCAGGGAUGCCAGGCCGAAGAGUCCCCAGCCCGACCCAUCUCUGCCACAAAGGGCUCGAAACGGCUCGGGGACAGAAGGGAGACUGCAGGGAGCUCAGAAAUGUGUGGACACGCUGCGACCUUCUCACCCUUAAGGUUGGGCGGUGGUCUCUGGCAAGGCCAAGUGGAGAGUUGACCAGUUUAGAGGGGGACAGUUCUCUGAGGGUGUCAGCUCAGAUGGCACGCUGGAGGAGCGACAACCAUAGGAAGUAAAUUCAGGGAGGACUGCAGGCGUUUCCUCCUUGAGCCUGGUUGAACCUGGCUUUGCUGGUCUCCCAGACUCCACCUCCAGUCUCUCCACCUGCUGUCUUAGGUCGAGCCCCAGACCAACCCCAUCCUUCCCACCCACACUGUGGACACAGCACUGUCACAGGGGCUUCGCCUUCCAGGGAGAAUCUGCCUCCAAAACAUUGAUGUUCUUGCUUCUCACAAUCCUGGACACAUCCCCAAAUAGGGCCAUCUCAGACAAGCAGUUAGGACAAAACUGACCACCAUAAAUGACGGUGAUUCUUUAAGGGUGGAAGGGUGUCAAGAGAACUAUGCUUUUUAAAUUAAAGGAUUAUGAGACUGUAAUGGAA
Herpailurus yagouaroundi (jaguarundi) is the source of this 1317-nucleotide long non-coding RNA. RefSeq lists it as uncharacterized. The record is from RefSeq and is a predicted model, not a curated record. The transcript has 2 exons. NCBI's taxonomy places the organism in Eukaryota, Metazoa, Chordata, Mammalia, Carnivora, Felidae.